GGAUUCCAGCCAACCUGGCUUCCACAUCUGCGCCAACCUAUUGCUCACCAGGGUUGACUCAGCUGAUCUGGCCGGCUGGGUGGGUGUCCCUUUCCUGCCUAGGCACUCCCCGCAUGUCCUUCCCGGUGGAAGAGAAGCCUCCCUGAGGAAGAGGACCCGCUUUGGUCAAGGGCACACCCGCUGCGGUGCUCCCCUGCCAGAACCUCCAAACCCCGCACAGGAGGGCAGGCUCUGGCCGGCAGAGGGUGUGGAGACAGCAGCUUGCCCAGGUUUAUUGCCCUUGGAUCUGCCAUCUGCAGCGACUCUGUAAGAGCUGCUUUCCUCCAGAU
This is a non-coding RNA of Heterocephalus glaber (naked mole-rat), 329 nucleotides long. The record is from Rfam. Lineage: Eukaryota; Metazoa; Chordata; Mammalia; Rodentia; Bathyergidae.